UCGAGGGGCAGCAUGGUCUUAGCUUGCUAAGACUGAUGGCGACCGGCGCACGGGUGAGUAACACGUAUCCAACCUGCCGUCUACUCUUGGACAGCCUUCUGAAAGGAAGAUUAAUACAAGAUGGCAUCAUGAGUCCGCAUGUUCACAUGAUUAAAGGUAUUCCGGUAGACGAUGGGGAUGCGUUCCAUUAGAUAGUAGGCGGGGUAACGGCCCACCUAGUCUUCGAUGGAUAGGGGUUCUGAGAGGAAGGUCCCCCACAUUGGAACUGAGACACGGUCCAAACUCCUACGGGAGGCAGCAGUGAGGAAUAUUGGUCAAUGGGCGAGAGCCUGAACCAGCCAAGUAGCGUGAAGGAUGACUGCCCUAUGGGUUGUAAACUUCUUUUAUAAAGGAAUAAAGUCGGGUAUGUAUACCCGUUUGCAUGUACUUUAUGAAUAAGGAUCGGCUAACUCCGUGCCAGCAGCCGCGGUAAUACGGAGGAUCCGAGCGUUAUCCGGAUUUAUUGGGUUUAAAGGGAGCGUAGAUGGAUGUUUAAGUCAGUUGUGAAAGUUUGCGGCUCAACCGUAAAAUUGCAGUUGAUACUGGAUAUCUUGAGUGCAGUUGAGGCAGGCGGAAUUCGUGGUGUAGCGGUGAAAUGCUUAGAUAUCACGAAGAACUCCGAUUGCGAAGGCAGCCUGCUAAGCUGCAACUGACAUUGAGGCUCGAAAGUGUGGGUAUCAAACAGG
Molecule: ribosomal RNA, 725 nt
Filed under: uncultured Bacteroidales bacterium
Lineage: Bacteria; Pseudomonadati; Bacteroidota; Bacteroidia; Bacteroidales
Description: bacterial SSU rRNA
Rfam family: Bacterial small subunit ribosomal RNA
Source: RNAcentral